This 62-nucleotide ribosomal RNA is filed under the name Fusarium verticillioides. RNAcentral's name for it is "partial 28S ribosomal RNA". It matches the Rfam family "Eukaryotic large subunit ribosomal RNA", at positions 1 to 60 of the family's 3401-position model. Lineage: Eukaryota; Fungi; Ascomycota; Sordariomycetes; Hypocreales; Nectriaceae. The record is from RNAcentral.
UUGACCUCGGAUCAGGUAGGAAUACCCGCUGAACUUAAGCAUAUCAAUAAGCGGAAGGAAAA